CAAAAGUGAGAUUGAUCCACUCUUUGGAUGUUACAAAAUGCUGUUUUAGUAUCACUUCACAGCAGCUGUGCUCUCAUAUCGCUUCCAUCCCAGGAAAACAUAGACUCUGUAAAAUGUGGAAAUCACCUGGGUGACGCCUCCUGAAGGUUUCAGAAGAGCACUUGCGAAGCUCAAAGCUGUUCGUUAUAAAGUAAAUCACUCCAUGGAUAUUAAAACCUUUAUUUUUUGUACCAGACUGUAAAGAUACCUCUUUUUGCUGUGAAUUUGGGCAUUUUAACAUGGGCACUGUCAUACUUUCGGAUACAGCCUCAAGUGGCCAUUUGGGAAACUGCAGUUUUCAACACUUCAAAUAGCGCCUUUGUGGCCGGACCGCUCCUGAAGAAGCUAGCGCAGAUGCUGCAACAGCAUCCAUUGUAUCAGAGUAUCUCUUCGCGGAAAGAAGAACAAAGAACGGCACCGUCUGAGAUUGAGAUUGAUUGCUCAUCCAAUCGCCUGCCAGAUAUCUUUUGUUUUCCAGACGGCCUCUCGGAUUGCUUGGAUCUGGCGGGUCCGGUUAGUUUCGGUGUAAAUGGAAGGGCUUAACUGGACUACAGUUACAGAUUUAGUGGGCUUAGCGUGGAUGUGAGGGAGCAGGCGUGUGCGGGUCUUUGUGAAGUGCCAGCUGGCGGGCCUCUCAACAGCGCGUCACCGACCCCACCUGUGCUCCACACAUUCCUCCACCCGGAACCUCCUUGUCCCGCUCAACCCGGCACCUCCGGCGAUAAAGUGAGAUGUGAGGCUGCCGACCUGUUCAUGUCACUGUAUUUUUGUUAUUCUGACAGGUAGCACAUGCUGUACUCGCUGUCACCGUAAAUCAGAUCACCUGGACGACAUGUACUCAUUCGUGAAUGAAAGCCGAUGAAAUAGUGUCUGACUAAUUCCAUGGCAAAGAAACCUGAACACAAUAAGCGAAUAGAAAAAUAUCCAUAUAUGUCAAUACAGAAAAUAACUUCUUCAAAGGACAAAUUGUUCUUGCUUUAUAGCGGUGCACUGCAAAAAAGAACGUGAAGUACGACCUUGCCCUUUCUUUACUGCAGGCCAGUUGUCUGUUUUGACACUCUUUCACAACACUAAUCUUUGUCCUGCAUUCGUUACACAACGGGGAUGCUAUGGCCUGCAGCUAAUCUGGGAAAGAAUGCAGACAGAUGUAUUAUUGGCUGAGGAGAAUUUACUUGCUGUCAUGAUAUACUCUAAGAACAGAGGUUGUUCUUAGUUUACUUAGUCAUGGCAGCCUUUAAGCACAUAGUCAAAACGAGUCAACCGUCGUUAAGGGUUGACCAGGCAUGAGUGGUGAAUCGACAAAUUGUGAUGAUGGACGGUUAAAGAAACCCUUUUUGUUAUAGAAAAAAAUUAUGGUUUUACAAGAAGAGAGCUCGGCCAAAUACCUCUUAGAGUAGAUGGUGUUAUUUAACAACGGUCCCGUCAGGGAGGUUGAAACACAUAUAAAGUAAGCUUAAGACUUACCUCUUUGACUAUGCUUAUUGUUAGGACUUGUUGACGUUAUAGUUUAAGGCUGGUUCAGGUUUAUAGUAAGGGCUGGUUCAGGUUCAUAGUGAAGGACUGGUUCAGGUUCAUAGAAAGGACUGGUUCAGGUUUAUAGUAACGACUGGUUCAGGUUCAUAGUAAGGGCUGGUUCAGGUUUAUAGUAACGACUGGUUCAGGUUCAUAGUAAGGACUGGUUCAGGUUUAUAGUAACGACUGGUUCAGGUUCAUAGUAAGGGCUGGUUCAGGUUCAUAGUAAGGACUGGUUCAGGUUCAUAGUAAGGGCUGGUUCAGGUUCAUAGUAAGGGCUGGUUCAGGUUCAUAGUAAGAACUGGCUAAGGUUUAUAGUAAGGGCUGGUUCCGGUCUAAAUCUGUGUUUGAUUACUGGUCUUUGACGAUGAGGGCGAGAUUGUGAUUGUCUCAUUGAACAUAUACUUUAAGGCUUUGAGAUGUGAGAUGAAUGAGAUUUCGGUACAUCUUUGCAUUAUAAAUCCUGAUAAUCGGGAGAAUAUAUAACCCGUCACAUGAACUAAAAUGGACCAGACUCCAUUCAGCUCCUCUCAGACUCAAUAGAGCAGCCACCACCUUUAUCUUUUCAUCCUGAGGUGACUCAAUUCUUUCUGUCAACUCAAAAGCCGACCUCUUGACCCCGAAGUGACCCCUGCCACCCCUCACCAGGCAUGCUGAAAGGACCACAGGAAGAAAGAACCGCCGCCUCACAGCCUGCAGGGAGCCCCUGACCUCUAACCCCAAACACCCCUCCUCUCUGUUUUUUUUUUUUUUUUUUCACACUCUGAGGUGAUGUUUUUUCCACGCCAUUUGUCCCGGUGCUCUCAUGCACACUCCUGUGUUAUCUUUGGGCCAGCACAAGACCUGUGGCCUCAACAGUUCCAUCAGGGUGCAACCUGAUUUAUUCUUAUAUCAAUAAAACCAUCCAAUGUGAAUGUUCUUGCCACAAAUUAACUGAAAUGGAAAUUCUUUACAAUGACUACAUGCAUAAGUGAGCUUUGGUUAGGUUGGCCACAUAAUACACAGAGUUUACAGUAAAAUGAUGCAACACUUGACCCCGGGGUCAGGCGUUGUCAAAUAAAUGCUCAAUUGCUCUAACACUUGAAACAAGCCAGGUCAAGAUGUCUUUGAAUUUCUUUUCUUUUUUGCCAAUAAACGUGUUUCAACAUCAUUAGACCCUUGCUGAUACCUGACACAGCUGCUGUGUUGGCCGUUAAGAAUUCACCCAUUCACCCAAGAUAUGCUCGGUCUGAAUGGUGCCAUUACAAACAUAAAUAUUAUUUGAAAUCUUAAUAGUACUGAUAGUAGAAUAAUAGUAAUAAUAAUAGUAAUCUUCAAAGAAAUGAAAGUAGCUUAAACCUGAGCUUUGGACUUUUGAAAAAAAUGUCUUGUAGAAUAUUCAAAAUGAUUGGUUGUUUAUUCCAUUUACAUCUGCAAGUUUUUGCUUUGAUUUGGUCUGGUGUUGUCGAUCUGUAGUCUGGAUUUGGUUUGGAUUCUGGAUUUGGUUAAAUAAAUAAUCAGUGUUUACUUUGAUCGUCGGCUGCUGAUUUAUCGACGUCUUGACCAUCAACUUCUAAUAACAAGUGAGAGUGCCAAGUGAGAGUGGAAAUGACCGUUCUGCGUAAUGGCCAAACAUCUCCAUGUCUUUUCAUUCACUAGUACCCCCUGUACUCGCUGAUACCCCCAAACACGCCCCCACCUUUUCCUUCAAUCUAGGUCAGCUUCUCCCUCAUUACAAUUCAACUUUCUCUCACAUUGAAAAUGCAAAACCAAAUCGCAGAAAGCUGAAGGAGCCUCGGGAGGAGGUGGAAGGAAUGGAAAGAAAAAACCCCGGGGAUUACUGCCCCGCAUUGUCCCGCCGCUAAUCCCUCCUCCUCAUCACACACACACACACACACACACACACACACACACACACACACACACACACACACAGAAGGAAAAAAAACAUUUGACACCUUUCAGAAGCUCAGCUCGACACUUCCAGUCACUCCCACACACUCAGGGUUACUCAAAGUCACACAAACAUUCACACGCACACACAGAUCCACAGCGUUUCCUCGCUCUGUCCGCUUGUGCUUCUCAGACAGCAUGAAAUCCUCCCCACAUCGGUGGUGGGCCCCCCCCCCCCCGCCUCUCUUCCCUCCUCGCUUUCAUCCAUUCUCCAUGGCUCCGCCUCCCUUCGGGGGCGCCAUAGGGCUUUUGUGCAGAUCGAUGGCCCGUGGCUAGCCUGGAAGAAGGGGUUAUACAGAGUGCACCAUACUCACUGAUGCAGGAGUUUAGGGGCUUUUAUGAAGAGGGGGGUAUUUAAAUCUCUCAUCCAGGACUUUUCAUCUUCUGUGUGGCUUCCUGUUUGACUAACCAGCCAAUAGCCCUCGAGUCACUCCAGAUUUAAAACACACAUAAUCCAAGUCGGAGAUGAGAGACAGAUCUAUUGAAGUAAAAGGUUGAAAAGAUUCAAAAUGUUACUUUAGUAGAAGUUUUAAACUAAAAAGGUAAGGGUUGUUGUUCUUUUCUUUUUUGUCAUUUAAAUAAAUGCAGUAAAAAUGAACUGAUUUAACAAACACAGUGCAUGUGUAUUCAUGGCUUAAUAUCUUCUUCCUUGGUGCAUAAAUGAGCCCAACUGUCGCCAUUUUUGUUGGCUCACAUCAACGUUAAAUGACUUAACUUCAACAUUGUUGCUUUGCUCCUCUCCUCAGGUGAGGUGCGAGCUUGGUGACCUUUUGACUCGCACCCUUUCCCCUGCUUCUCAUUUUGAAACCAUUUGUUCUCGGUUCCUUUUUUCCUUUUCACUGCCCUCUUCCCCCCCACGUUCCACUCUCUGGGGCAGUUAAAAUGCAGCUGCCGCCAUCAGAUCUCCAUUAUCCAGCCCCGGGGGCAACGAAGGAGAGGAAUUGGGAUGAGAAUUGAGUGUUCGGGAUGAUAUUUUAGCAUUUCUGGGAAGCUGUGGGUGUAGAUCGCUCAAACAGGUGUUACGUUUGUAAAGUUACUCUGAUCUUCUGUGGAUCUUCCUCCUCCAUGAUGCCUAACCCCCAGCCAACGUUCUCCAUUCCCAGAACUCUUAGUGAUUUGAACAGGAGACCUGUACUAUGCAGUUGAUUCAUUUAGUGACUAAGAGACGACCCUCUCCGGUACUUUAACGUUCACAUCCUGUGAAGAAAAGAAAAAUGGUGCUUGAUCAUUUGAUGGUGGAGUACCACUUUAAAGAGAAAAAGCACACCGCAUGACACCAAACAGAGAUUCACCCGACAGUCGUUAUGAAAACAAAAAGACGAAUAACGCGGACGAUAUUCCCUCGCCAAUCGUUUCAUAACCUCGACCAGCUGAACUCUGCCGGGCCGCCACGCAUCCGGCUCGAAUGCCGGCCUCUCCGUCUCACUCCUCGGGAUCAAUUUGGCCGAGUUGAAAUAGGGGUCGAGGCAAUUUAACACUCGUCCUGCAUUUUAAACCAGGGGAGGAAGUCUCAGGGCCGGCCAGGUGGCGGUCAAUUCAGUCAGGGCCGUCUGCAUUCCUGUGUGUGCUUGUAUUUUCUGAGCUGGGAGGGUUGACAGGAGACACUUUAUGUGCACGUUUCUGCAACCAGCAAACGUUGAAGGUCAAAGUUUCUAAACCAAAAAUAUGCUCCAUAAAACCGUUUUCAUUAACGUACUUCUAGUGUGCACCUUCCUGUGUGAGUCCAACAUUUGCGUGUGUAUAAUGUGUAUUUUUCCUCCCACGGUGUCACUAGAUGAUGCGUUUCAUUGAGAGAACUGCAGGUGAGGAGGUCCCUCUCCGCAAGAAGUCCACUGGGUCCAUGUGGGUAAUGUUGCAGACACACAAUGUUCAGGAUUUUAUCUCACGUGAACAUCAUAUGUUUGUUCAAUACUUUUGUUUUAAAAAUAGUAGAUAGAGCAGCUUUAAAAUAACCGCGUAUGAGUCUGCCUCGAGGGAACAGGCGGCUGGAGGGUGUGGAGGGGAGAUGGGCGGAGAAACCCAUGGCCCCCUCUUCCCCGUUCGCCUCGAGAGAAUUAACACCUGCACUUAGUGCACACUUGUCUUUUCUGGAUCCAGCCCUGACAAAUGCCCCCUUUUCAUUGUGUCAAACACAGGACUUUCACCCAGGUGAAUGCUGUUAGCAUCCCGUAACCAACGCGUCGACAUUCCACAAACUGAACUACCGUCACGCGGUACGCAAGAUUUGCAGGUAUUAACAUUGAAACUGGGGGGUCACAUGACUCUCCAUUAAUCCUCUAAGCCAGGGGUCUCAAACUGCGGGAGUCCGGCGUCCGGUGCGGCCCGCACCAACCGUAAUGGUCUGGCCCGCGUUCGGUCGAAGCGCGAAGUGAGUUUGAGACCUCUGCUCUAAGCCUAAACUCUCAGUGCAGUCUGAGCCGUCCUUUGGCUCAGUGCAUUGGGUCAUUGACACGUUUCUUUGAGAACUCGUCUCUUUCCGUCAGCACAAUAUAGCAUCACUUUGCUAAAUCCGCUCGAGUCCCUCUUUCCUUGGUGGUUUCACACGUCAUGGAUUCCGGGGGGGAAGAGGCGAGCCGUCGGCACAAAGAGGAUAUUGAUUUCACCACGCUUCCCCUUCUUACCUUUCACCUGAAUGUCACUCCGACAGAUUGCGACUGUUUCUUUGCAAAGAGAAGCGCUGGGUCGGAGGUUUUGGCGUCUUAGGAUGACGUCGACUCAGCUCAGGAAUUCCUUUAAAAAGGUGCGCUGUGGAAACAAAAAGCCUGUGUGUAGGUUCUGACAAAUGUGGUCGAAAUGUGGAAGCUGCAGAGACGGGCUCCGCGAGCAGAUGGGCAGUUUUUUGUACAGUGAAUUCCAUGUACAGGAAACAGAUUAAUGACUUUACCACUUUGUAGACACGACCCAAAGGAAAGAAACUCAAAGUGCUCAGAAUUAAAACUCUUUGCUUUUUCUUUAUGUGUGAAGAUUUGUUUUAUUAUUCUAUGAGCCCACAUAAUAGACUGUAUGUGUAUGCAUCGUCACAUACAAGACAGAUGUGAAUAUGUACUUUUGUUUAGUUAGAUGUUGAGUUAUUGCCUCCAACCAGAGACUAGAAGAGGUGGAUGUCACCUGUUGGCUCGUGGAAUGUUUUUUUAAAGACUCAAAGGUCUUUAAAAGGUCCAUGAAUUAAUCGUUUUGUUUUUCUUUUUGGAACCAGAAAGGGCAUGAGGAAUAAACAUUGUGUAUUUUCAAGGAUCAGAGUCUGUUUCUCAUUUAUUAAAAAAAGGUCUUGUAGAGGACAUCGUUGAAGCCCGGUUGACCUCAUGUGCAGCUCCACAAGCUGAUGCUGAAAAAAAACGAGCUCCUCGCCAUCCAUUCACCUCCUCCCUCCCACUCACAGCCAGCGAGGCUUCUUUCAGACCAAGGACGCCCAGCUCGCCCCCAUCCUGCCGGUUGAAUAUGAUGUGUAUUUACUUAUCCAGCCGCCGUUGGCCUGACAACUAAGCCUAAGGUGUGAUUCAACGAGGACGCACAGUAUGUUCUAUAUUUACAUACUUUUUCUGAGAAUAAGGAUAUAAUUGCUCUUGAUAGCACAGCGAGAUAAAUGAGGAGGGAGAAGAUGUUGCAGCGGUUCCAGAACAGGUUUGAAUUUUCACAGAACUCCAGUUAUUGGGACUGACACUUUCCAUCAGAGCUUCAUAUGAAAUAACAAACUUCCUUUAUUUUAUUGAAUGCCAUGGUCAUCUUCAAAGAAUCUCUGAUAACAUAUUUGGAGGACAUGGUUACUAAGGCAAUGAAAAGACUUAAUAUGCAGCCUUGCAUUCUGUUUGAUCUAAUUUCUUCCUUUAUCUGUUUUGGAUACCAGUGAAGUGGAGGGAGACACAUCAGACGAACGGGGUCAAAAUGUAAUUUAUACGUGUAGAGUGCAGCUCUUAAGUCUCCAACGCACACCUGUCACCUGUAGCCCCCAUCAGCUACUUCCUAAAGAAGACAAACUAAAGCUGCAUCAAUGUUUCAUGAUGAAUUACAGUAUUUACCUCAUGCAAAUGUCAAAGUCUUCAUACCUGGCCGUCAACAACAACAACUCAAGUUGUGACAGCCAGAAAUGGCCAGUGCAGUUAGCAUCACAUGCGAGGUGCAUUUUGGGUCUAUUUUGGUGGAUGUCAACCAUCCUGUGAAGUUUUCUGUUUGUCAUCCAACAGUCGGUGAAGUGUGCUGGGGAUGAUGAAGUGCCAUUUCCUCCCACUGUCUCCCUUAUUAGCUCUCUCUCCCCUCUCAGUUGUGUCAGCAGCAUUACUCAUACCUGGGCCGGGUGCACACCGGGCUGCCAGGCCUGGAUCCGCCUUAAUCACCCACUUCCACUUCCUGUUCCUCGACCUGCCAACAGCUCGCCGUGGGCGGACGCUGAUGACGGGAAACGGCACAGCCGCACCAGCGAGAGAGGCGGAAGGAGGCGCUCUGGGCGACUGGGAUGUUAUUAUAGUUUCACUGAUGGGGGGGGGGUCGACCGGGUGGAGAAGCGCGGGCGACCGAG
Gasterosteus aculeatus aculeatus (three-spined stickleback) is the source of this 7996-nucleotide long non-coding RNA. Lineage: Eukaryota; Metazoa; Chordata; Actinopteri; Perciformes; Gasterosteidae. The record is from Ensembl.